UACGUAGGGGGCAAGCGUUGUCCGGAAUUAUUGGGCGUAAAGCGCGCGCAGGCGGCGACUUAAGUCUGGUGUUUAAGCCCGGGGCUCAACCCCGGUACGCACUGGAAACUGGGUGGCUGGAGUGCAGGAGAGGGGAGUGGAAUUCCACGUGUAGCGGUGAAAUGCGUAGAUAUGUGGAGGAACACCAGUGGCGAAGGCGACUCUCUGGCCUGUAACUGACGCUGAGGCGCGAAAGCGUGGGGAGCAAACAGG
This 252-nucleotide ribosomal RNA is filed under the name uncultured prokaryote. RNAcentral describes it as "partial 16S ribosomal RNA". It matches the Rfam family "Bacterial small subunit ribosomal RNA", at positions 524 to 776 of the family's 1533-position model. The record is from RNAcentral.